AGAGUCAGAUCCAACCUUCUCAAUGGCCCUAACAACAUCCAUACCUUCAAUGACUUGACCAAACACGACAUGCUUACCGUCGAGCCACGACGUCUUCUCGGUACAGAUGAAAAACUGAGAUCCAUUGGUGUUGGCACCAGCGUUAGCCAUGGAGAGAAUACCUGGACCGGUGUGCUUCUUGGUGAAGUUCUCGUCCUUGAAUUUCAUGCCGUAGAUCGACUCGCCUCCGGUUCCGUUUCCUUUGGUGAAAUCUCCUCCCUGACACAUGAAUUUGGGGAUCACACGGUGGAAAGCUGAUCCCUUGUAGUGGAGUGGCUUCCCAGAUUUUCCCAUUCCUUUCUCGCCGGUGCAGAGAGCUCUGAAAUUCUCCGCCGUCUCUGGGGUUGUGUCGGCGUAAAGCUCCAUCACGAUUCGGCCGGCCGGUGAUCCGCCGACGGUCAUGUCGAAGAAAACUUUAGGGUUUGCCGCCAUCUUUUUGGAUCGGAGAUUUUUUUUUUGGAUCGGAGAAAAAUUUGUGUGAGUGUGUGUGAGAGAGAGAUUAGGGUUUUGGUUACGAUUGAUAUAUAGAGAGAGGAUCUAGUUCCAAGGGAAAGGAAUAUUUGAACGGAAAUAUUUUAGUGACCGUUGAUUUUGUACACGUGUUGUGAUCUGGAAGAGUUUAGGUUAACUGUGGUUAAGUUGAAAUCUGACUAGGGUUAAUAGUUGCGUGGAUCCGAGGCAGAGAAUAUUUUGUUUCUACUUUUUACUGGAUAGAGCUAGAAGCAUGAAUAGCGGCAUCAUAAGCUUAAAACGACAUCGUUCAUAAAUUAAGGCCUGGAAACAUUAAGGCCCAAUGUUAAAGUAAAAAGCCCAAUUUGUUUUUAUCAAAAAUCAGAAGCAACGACAGCUAAAUGGAAAGUAGAAAGUGGGGUGGUUUUAAAUCUACUACAAAGUCUACAAGCCUCCAAGGUAGUAAGAGAAAUGCAAAAUGAAAAAACAACCUUCAAAUUUCAAACUUGCAUCGUUAAUCAAAUGAUUAUUCUAUUUUUCUUUUCAAGUUCAUGAAUUUUGGAACUUAUUGUUGAGACAAUUCUUUUUAUAAGUAGAACUGUAGAAGAAAACAAGCAGUCACUGACCCAAAAAAAAAAAGAAGAAAAAAACAAGCAGUCAAGAUUCUCUGUGAAGUUACAAGUUACAAAGGAAGAAGGAUCUCUACCAAAAACUCUCUCUCUAUGUGUAACGUUAGUAGCGUUCGUGUGCUCUUGGUUUUACAAGUCCCCAAAGAUACAGACAAAAGCAUGUGAGAUUUGCUCUAAUCUACUUCUUCUUCUUUGACUUAUGACCGUACGAAGUGCCCUGCGUUGUAAAUCGAGAGCAAUGUAUCAAUUCCAAAACACUAAACAAAUGCAAAAACCCAUCAUGAAGAACUUAUUAGAUCUUGUCUAUGUAAGUACCUCAAGCCAUUCAUCAAGCGACGCAUCUUUAGUUGCAGUUCCAACUUCAACUUUUGAUGCUCUCUUUGUUUUCUGCGCACAGCAAAUGACCAGUUAGGCUUAUUAAUCAAAGUUAGUAACUAGAUUAGGGAUCGUUUUGCCUAAGAGAAAAGGCCACAACAUUAAGGAAUGUAUAUAAAGAGAAAUUUUCAUGUACCUUGGUCAAAUGCUUCAUAUUAUUUUGGAUAUAGAUGAUAAGAAGAGUGAUAACCAAAAGUAAAAGGCCACAAAGGAAGACUGACUCCAUCCUAAAGAGAGGACCGUCUUCAACAACUUCGAUGGUUCCAUUGUAAAACGUGCUUUGAUAUGGCUUACCAUCUAUCUCAUAGAUGAUGGUGCCAACUAGAUCAAAAGCACCCGCCUGCACGAGGAAUGUUUAGCUCAUUUACUUUUUAUUAACCAUGCACAAGAAAACACUACUCUUUUUGAAGUCGAAAAGACUCAUCAUGACUAGAAGAACUAUAUGAAUAACAAACAUACCUGUAGGAACUUGCUGACUGCAAAAGUGUAUGGGAAGGUAGCUUGAGCCGAAGUUGGCACAGAUGCGUUGCCAAAGCUCUACACAUAGAAGAUACGAUAACCACAUAAUUAAGUGGACACAUCUUGUAUUAUUCAGCAAAGGCAUUUUAAGUUUCUAAAUCUAGAAGUGAAGAAAUGGAAUAAAGUUACAGCAUACGAGCAUAGAGAGACAAUCAAAGAAAGUAGCUGAUUCAAAACAUACAUGAGCAAAGAUUAAAAAGCUAUAGAGACCCUUUUCUUGAAUUUUCUUGAAUUUUGUAACACGGAAGUAACAGGUUUAUGGUAUAGAUUGUGGAGUGACAUGAGAUGAGACAAAUCAGGCAAUGAGGAAAGAACCUAACAAAACCAAACUAGACUGAUUUGGACAGAUUUUAACAAGUGAUUCAGAGGCAGCAAAUGUGAGAAAUGAGAGGCAAGAUCAUUAAGUUACCAGAGCGGUGAGAUUCUGAACCAGAGGCUUCUGAUCAAAAGGAAGAUGCAAACUUCCUCUAACCGCAACGAUAUCAACAUUGGAUUGACCUAUUCAUAUGAUCCAACCAACAAAUUUAUAAACUUUUAACUAAAACUUCAAGUAAUCGAUUUCAACGUUUGAUGAGAAUCAAUUUCAUUAUUACCAUCAUUUUUCAUUCCAACAAGCAGCUCAGUUUCAUGUCCAGCUUUGAUUACUGCAGAUAUCAAACGGACCAAGAGAUUAGCACCCAAAAUUGGGAUAUGGGAAGAACAAGAACACUAAAUUAUUAGAAAUUAGAAUCAGAAACAGGAAAAACUCUCUACUUUUUGCACUGUUUUUGGGAAAAACGCAAAGGGUUUCAAUCCCAGGAGCUGAGGUAAGCUCCAAGCCAAACACUUCCUCUGCAUCACUCUCUUCUUCUCCAGAAUCGGAAACUUCAAACCCAGAAUCUUCCGAAUUCGACUGGCACAAAGCAGCUAGAGCAAAAAAACCAUAAAGCAAAAAUCAAAAUAGAAUCAGCGAUAAUCAGUAGAUCUAUGUUCGAUAAUAGAGGAUCAGAUAAAGGUGUUUAAACCUUGGUAGAAAGGUGAAGCAAGAAGAAGAAAAGCGAGGAGGAGGAGUCUAAUAACACUCGUCGACUUCAUAUUGGGUUUUUGAGAAUUAGUUCGAGUUUGAUCGUCGUGCUCUGAAAGUAAAGAUGGCGAAGAAAGCAAGAAGACAAGAAAGGAGUUUCGGUCUUUGACGUUCUUUAUGCUUCUUCACAGGCGUUGACGGUGGCGUAGAAUAACAACACAUGGUCCUGUUAAAAGUAAUCAUGAAACGACAACGUGAAGUUUUAUGCUUAAAAGUUUGGAGACCCAUUUUAAGAAGGUGGCCGAUAAUAAUGUCUUAGCUCGUCGUUGCAUAUUGUAGUGGGCGAACAACGUUUUAAGCAUUAAGUUUGUUAAUGGUUAAACAUUUUAAGCAUUAAGUUUUUAAGGCCCUGUUCGUUUGAGCAGUUGAUAUUUGCAGACUAAUCCAUCCAAAUGAUAUUCAGUCAUGUUCGUUUAAGCAGUUGAUAUUUGCAAUCAAAUAAUUUAUCUGGAUGAUUCAUCUGAUUGAUCUAUCUAAAUGAUGUUCGGUCCUGUUCGUUUAAGCAGUUGAUAUUUGCAAUCAGAUGAUUCAUCUGGAUGAUUCAUCUGAUUGAUCCAUUCGAAUGAUAUUUCUUUCAUUAAUAAAAUUUAAUGAUUUAUUCAACUGAUUCAUUUGACUGAUCUAUCUGGACGAAUUUUUGUUUGUUUGAUCAUUUCAUAUCUCCAUCUAAAUAAAAAAAUAACUAAAAUACCCAUAUUUUCAUCUAAUUAUAUUUUCAGUGUAAUAUUAACUAUGUUAUUAUUAAUUCUUAAUAUAAAUAAUGUUUUACAACCAAAUAAUUUUCAGAUGACUAUUUUAAACAUUUUUCUAAAAAAAAUAUUUAGAAAAUAAAAGUUUUGUUUAUAAAAAUAUUUAUAACAAUUGAUUAAAAAAUAAUUAAUUUAGUGAUUGAUUCAUACCCAAUAAAGACAUUUAAAACAUAUAUUUUCUCAUUGGUGAAGCAAACUACAAUAUCUUCUUCUUAAAUUAUAAUUUUAUCAUACAAAAUCAUUAUCAAAUUGAAAAAACAUAUCAUAUUAUGUUUAGAAAGGUACAAAACAAAGUUUUUUUAGAAAAACAUAAUCCUUAAACCACCAAUUCUCCCUUCUAUUCACCAGAACUUACAAAUAAAAACAAAGAAUUUUUUUUAUUAGAAGGAGAAUUCAAAUAGAACACAAAAGAAAGACAAAGAUCAUAACUGAUAACUGAAAAAAAAUAUAACAAGAUAAGAUAACUCAUUCACAUUCACUCAUUCACAAAUAAAAAUCAUAACUGAUAACUGAAAAAAAUAUAACAAGAUAAGGUAAUUCAUUCUCAUACACUCAAAAAUAAACCUGUUUCUCAUACACAAAAUAAAAAUAAGAUAAUAGAGUUCAAAAGAAACAUAGACAUGAAAAAACAUGAAUCAUCCUCGUGCAUUCCAAGAGUUCAAAAGAAACAUAGACAUGAAAAAACAUGAAUCAUCCUCAUGCAUUCCUGUUUUCAAAAGAACAAUUGAAAGACACUAGAUACUAGAGUUCGAAACAUAGUUCAUAAUAAGCAUAAAUCAUCCUCAUGCAUCCCUGUUUAUACCAGUUACAAAUUCCAAGUACAUAACUUUGUUCUCAUCAUCUUCAUAAAAAAAGGAAAAACAAUAAACUUUUUUUUUAUGAUACAAGCACGAAGAGGAAGCAGAAUCCAAUCAAGCAUAAAAAGCUAUUUUUUUAAUGACAAGACUACAAAUCUGUCUUAGUAAUAUCAAUUGCACAACCAAAACAGAACAAGUGGCAUUGAUAAUCCAAUAUCUCAAUAUCAUCGAUAUUGUACAAAAAUCAAUCUCUAACGAAUCAGGGUCCGAAUGGUGACAGCGUUUUUGGCUAUGUGAAAAAACGGUUUAAGAGUGUGGUACGGUUCAACUGCGGUACAUGCGGGAAAAUAUAUUUGCGGGACAACUGCGAUUUGUAUAUAAUAAGCGGUAUGAAAUAAUGUUUGAUUGGUAAAAAUACAGUUUACGGUCCAUAUUAAAAUGUUUGAAUGGUGAACAAGAUAACAAGCGGUACACAUUAUAAAUUAUAAAUCAUAAAUAUAUAUAAAUAAUUAAUAUUAUUGUCAUUAAAUUAUUUAUUUCGUAUUGAUAAAGAAAUAUUUUCAAUACAUUUAUAAACUUUCAAUUAUAAAUUUAUUUUAAAAUAACAUUUUUUUUUUACAUAUAUAUUACAUAUAUUACUUAUAAAUGAAUGUAAAAUAUAUUUGAAAAAACUUGUCAUUAAAAGUAUGAAAAAAUAUAUUUUAACCAAAUUAAUAUUAAAAGUAUAAAAAAUUAUUUAUUUUAAAUUUUAUAAACUAAUUCUUACAUAAAAACUUACUUAAUUUUUUAAAAAGGGAAGAAAUAAUGUUCUACUUCUUUUAUGUGUUCUACAAUGUAUUAGAUAUAUCUUAUUUAUAUGUAUUGUAUUUUAUUAUUAAAAAAUAAGUUUUUUUCAAAAAAAAAAGUUAUGUGCGUUUUUAUCCGCCCGCUGAGUAAUAACCGUUGGAUAAUUUUGAGUGCGUUUCAUUAUUUGCUGACAUUUUUUAACUGUUUUGAAAUUCGCAAAUGAGCUUUUUUUUUUCUUUAAAAAACGCACUUUCCUACAAAUUUUGGUUGAUUGGUGUUAUAAUAGCGGUUUUGAAAUUACCACUUCAAAUACCUUACCGCACUGCCCUAGUCACCAUUCACUGCCUCAACAUUGAAUACGAUGAAUCAAAUACGAAUCAAAACAUAGAUCCUAUAAGCACAACGAGAGAAUACAAACAUAUUCAUAAAAACAAAAAUAAAGAGAGAUUCAAACCUGCUAUUAGCAAACUGAAGAGAGAUUGAAGAAGAGAUCGAGAGAGAAGAAAGCUUGAAAAGAAACAAGACUAAAAACUCCUCGGAUCUGCGCCAAGUAUCAAAACCCAGAAAUUAAAACCCAGAAAUAACCCAUGAUUCAUAUCUCUCAAGAACCAUGAGACAAAAACCAGAGAUAGACAUAGAAGAUGCUGCAUUUGGAUCAAAUUCUAAGGCUCAAGAAAGCAGAGCAAGACUCUAAUCACGAAUUAGAUAUGAAAAUCUGUGGAUCCAUGCUUGCUACAUCAUGUUUACUAAGACACAUACGUAAGACACAUAUGGGAAAACCAAUCAGGAACAAAAAAAUAUUGAAGACCCUUGAAUUAUCAAAGAUGAACGAAUUAUCAAAGCUAAUGGCAGCAGAAAGAUGAACGAAUUAUCAAAGCUACAAGUGUACAUUGAAGACCAUUGAGUCACGAGAACAAGAAGAGACAAGAACCUGGAUUUUGUAAUUGCUCAGCAAACCCGAUGCAGGCGAGUUGAAAGUCGCUGAAACGUGUAAUGAGGUACUGCAUCACCACAUAACCAAAAGAAAGGGUCAAUGGUUAGCUAUAACUUUCUCGCUUAAGAGCCAAACACAAUUGCCAAAAGAGCUUUAGAAAGAGAGAAAAUGUGUUCAGUUCAAAGAAAAAUAUCCAAAAGGCACCAUUCAUCCACAAUCACUCAUCACAGAAAGGCAUGUUAAGAAGACAUUAUGGUGUUCAUAUACGUCUUUUUUCUUACUAUAACCAGAUCAUAUUCAUUGUUAUAAUGGGACCCAAGACCUAAAACAAACUUCGUUAACCAUCAGCCAUAACACUGAUUUGAUCCGUUCAAGUCUAUGUACUUUUUACCAAUCCCUAACAUGACUUUACUGUCAUCUCAAACAACAAAAGCCACUUCUCACAUCAAUCAAGAUUCAAAAACCAACCUAGAUCAAAGACACUCAUGUUGGUAAAGAACAGUUUUAGUACAACUAGCCCGACCAGAUGGUAACCAAACCCGAAAGUCUUAGACUCAUAUAUUACUACCAUUGUUGGAAGGAGAAAGAAAGCUUAAAUCUUCACCACAAAGACCGCAUUUUCGACAAGACAUCAAACCGGUUAAUUGAAUGUUCCAUCUAGCUUAGUGACCGUGUCAAUGAUACUUAAAGAUCCAAAGAUCACAACAUAAACAAUCUAAACUACUCUUCAAAUUCACUAUCAGAUUCUAAGUCAAUAUCAGAAACCAUAUAAAGAGAGAAUCAAAAAACAACAAGAAGUGAGCAGAACAAGCAGCAAACAUAGAUUAUCCUCUGUGACACAGCAAACAAAGCUAACAGCAAAGUUAUCACUAACUAGCAAAUCACAAACGAAGCUAAUCUCAAUGAUGUUCUAAGCUGUUUGGUAGUUUAGAGAAGAAAACUUGGAAUUCUAAACCAAACCUAGAAAGAUAUUACCUCAGCAGAGAGAGAAAACUGUAAAACCUCACACAAAGAGACUUAUAGAAUGUAGCACACAAAUGUUCUAUGAACUAUACUCUUUAUUAGAAAUCACUUAAACAAUCUUUACAGACUUGUUUAAUCUGAAUUACACGACAAAGCACAUUGCUUCUCGAUACUGACCAAUUCCUAAUCUACCCAAGUAGUCUCUAACACACUUGUGUUACACUUUGAAUUCACUCACCAAGAACCCUAGAUUUUUCUCUCAAAGCUUGUAGUGAAUAUUUUUCUCAUGAACGGCCGACCUUUUCGUGCGGCCUUCACUCCAAUAUAUAUCACAUCUCAUAAAGAGCAUGUGAAUAUACACUUUCCAGGAUGUUAAGAUCUUCAAGAUCUUUCACACCAACCUCCAAAGAUACUCCUUGAUAUACACGGGACUUUCCUUCAGAAUUCCCACCAAUAGUUGCCACGUCAUUCUUCUUCAAAUAAUCCAGCUCAGCACUCCCAUAUUCCCUGUACUCUUGACUUUCUUCACGUCUCUCUGUGUAACACACGACCUUUCUUGUGAUGAUAGUUAAGCUCCAUUUUCUUGAAUUUACAUUCUCCCCUUUUUGUCCGAAUAUGAGAACUCAAGCUUUCUAUAACAACUAAAGCUUUGACAGAUAGCCCAAACAAAUAUCCAGAAAAGUAGACAGAACAGUGUAAGCCAUCUCAUUCAAAUUGCAACACUCAUUUCAUGUUUUACACACGAAGGAAACAAAACAGAAAGACCGAUAAUGAGUAGUCUGAGUCAACCCGACACAAAAAGCCAAAAAAAAAAAAAAAACUGAUCACUACAAUGUCCUGUCACGGAACCGAUAUCUUCAUUCAUCUUCAUUCGGUUCCCCCUCAACCUCAGAACCUCCAGGACCAUAUUCUCCCCCUACUUAAGUGCAUAUUCAGAUAAAAGUACAUAUAAACCAAAUCGGAGCAGAAAUACCAAGGAAGAAGAACUUACCUCGAAGACGAAUCUAAAUUUGCUUAAGCCAAUGACACAGCUGUUCCAGAUCAGCUUCCAAGGAUGGAAGAGAAGAAGAAUAAUCCUCACUAGAUCUAUUCCCAGCCUUAGAGUCAAGAGUGAUCUUUAUCGGGAAACCACAAAGCUCAGAAUCGGUAGUGAGAUGAGGAACCUCAUGCUGGAAUUUCAGGAGCUGAUAGAUGAGGUUCAGAAAAGGCAGCUUGCGAUUCACAUAGUCAGGUGUACGAGCAGUCAUCACAAUUUGAUCGUAAAUCAGGUGUCCCAGAUUGAACCGCUUUCCUUUGAUCACAAAGGCGAGCAACUUGAUCUGUUCCUUGACCAUAGUCGUAUGAUUUGAGGUCGGCAUCCAGGAUGUAUAACACAACUUGUAAAGGACUCCAUAGUCAGGAUGGAGGUGUUUGGAGGCAAAACCUUCCCAACGAGUUUUACGUCCACUAGAGACAAUGCGAACAGCGGCGUCAAUGCUCAUGUUUUCCAAACCACCAGACGGAAGAGAUGUUGGGAAAGAACAGAUGCACAAUGGCACAGCGGAAUAUAGUUCUUCCCACACUUGUGUGAACCUAUGAGAAAAAUAUAGAAGCAAUGGCAGAAAGUAAAAUGACACAGCAAAUUUUACGUGGAAAACCUCCUCAAUUUGAGGAGUAAAAACCACGGGACCGUAGUCCACUCAAAAAUCCACUAUCACCAAUGAAUAUGAGUUACAACCACGUCCACCAAAGACUAAGGCUCCAAAAAGCAAUCUCCAAUACAACAACACAACCACAAGAGAGCAAAACAGAGCUUAGAAAUAAGCAGAUCCAAAUGACUAUAAGUUUACUAGGAUUCCGGCCACCAAAUCAAAUCUCCACCGUACAAACCCUAGAUAAACAAGUCAAAAACACCUCUAAAAACUUUCAGCUCAAACCGAGAAGAACUCACCGUCGGAUUUCCCAAACACUCAAGACAGCACCUAUUGAAAUCUGAACUCGCCACUGAUGCGAACAGCCACGCUAAAACUCAGAUAACUCCCUAACCAACCGUUGGAACACAAAUCCCUUCGGUGAGCCUCAAGAACACUGAGUCACGAAGCUUCCCUCAAAAUUUCAGCCAGAUCGGAGCACUGCAAAGCCUCCAAACGUUACCCUGAACAGAACCUGACGAAAACUGUGUAUCUUCCUCUCUGGUCUGCGAAAAUCACUCUCUCUUGUCUCAAUGACUCUUAACAGCCACUUAUAUACAGGUUAAGAGAAGCUAUUAAACUCCCACAUAACUCUAAGCCCAAUAAUAAUCUCAUGGAUUAAAAUAUGGCCCAGGUUUGGUUCUCUUUUAACCAAACUUAAUUGGUUUCCCCACUAGGAGGAAAACCAACAAACUCCCCCUCCGACUAGGUGGAGGAAACAGCCAUCCCGGCUAUCUCCCGACAAACUUCAAGCUUCCCUCUCGGCAAUGAUUUCGUCAUCAUAUCAGCUCCAUUAUCAUUCGUAUGAACUUUCGAAAGUUCCAUUUCUUUAGAAGCAACCACUUCACGUAUCCAAUGAUACCUCCUAUCAAUGUGCUUCAAACGCGAAUGAAAUGUGGAGUUCUUUCCGAGACAAAUAGCACUUUGACUAUCACAAAGCAACACAUACUUAUCUUGCUUGAAACCAAUCUCCUCAAGAAAAUGCUUCAUCCACAACAAUUCUUUACAAGUUUCCGUUGCGGCGAUAAACUCUGCUUCAGUGGUAGAAAGAGCAACACACUUUUGUAACUGUGAUUGCCAUGCCACAGCUCCCCCUGCAAAUGUUACCAAGUAACCCGAAGUAGACUUCCUGGAAUCAAUAUCUCCAGACAUAUCAGAAUCUGUAUAACUAAUCAGUAAUGGCUUAUCUCCUCCAAAGGUAAGUUUCAAACUAGAAGUCCCACGAAGAUAUCUCAAAAUCCACUUCACAGCAUUCCAAUGUUCUCAUCCAGGAUUAGAAAGAAAACGACUAACUGUACCAACAGCGUGAGCCAAAUCUGGUCUAGUACAGACCAUCGCAUACAUCAAACUACCAACUGCAGAGGCAUAUGGAACCCGUGCCAUAUCUUUCUUCUCUGAAUCUGUACUCGGACUUUGUUGACGACUCAAUCUAAAGUGUGAAGCAAGAGGAGUGCUAACAACUUUAGACUUGUCCAUGUGAAACCUCUGAAGCACCUUCUCAAUAUACUUCUCUUGAGACAAGUGAAUCAACCUUUCACCUCUAUCUCUGAUAAUUCUUAUACCAAGAAUCUGUUUCGCUGGACCCAUAUCUUUCAUGGCAAAGGACUUGCUAAGCUGCUUCUUCAACUCUUGAAUUCUGCUCAAGUUUCCAGUGAUGAUGGGAGGUUAGUUUGGUUCUUUCCAGUAAGUAGUAGUUCAUCACCAAACACUUGCAAGAACACACAGUGAUCAGAAGUAGUCUCCUUAUAACCAUGCUCCCCCAUAACCGAAUUAAACUUCAUCUGUCUCGGUGCCUGUUUCAAUCCAUAAAGGCUUUUCUUCAAGCGACAAACCAAGUUCUCUUUGCCCUUUUUCACAAAGCCUUCCAGUUGUACCAUGUAAAAUUCUUCCUCCAAAUCACCAUGAAGAAAAGUCGUUUUUACAUCCAUUUGCUCAACCUCUAGAUCAAGACUCGCUGCCAAUCCAAGUACAACCCGAAUGGAUGACAUCUUCACAACAGGAGAAAAGAAUUCAUCAUAAUCAACUCCCUUCUUUUGGCUGAAUCCUUUCACAACCAAUCUCGCCUUGUAUCGAGGCUGCAAACUAUUAUCUUCAUACUUAAUCCGAUACACCCAUUUAUUAAGCAAUGCCUUCUUACCCUUAGGCAACUUCACCAAAUCAAAUGUGUCAUUCUCAUCAAAAGACACCAUCUCAUCUCCCAUGGCGUUUAACCAUUUAUCCUUGUGCUCAUCUUCCAUAGCUUCCUCAAAGCUUUCAGGUUCUCCCCCAUCAGUAAGCAGCACAUACUCACUAGGAUCAUACCUUGUUGAUGGCGACCUCUCAGAUCUUCUAACAACAGGUGGGUUCUCGAUAGUUGGUGUUUCAUCAUGAUCGUCACCAUGAUCACCAUUACCAUCAUCAUCAUCAUGUGCGGGAGCAUCUGCACCAGGUGUAUCAGCAUUAAUCUCACCUUCAACUUGACCACCAACCGAUGUAGAAGGAGUAGCCUCUGAAUCAAUCAAACUCUCAAAACUCUGGGCUGAUUUUCCUGACUUAUCAAUGUCCUUGAUCUUUUGAUCUUCCAUGAACACAACAUCUCUGCUUCUAAUAAGCUUCUUCUCAACGGGAUCAUAAAACCUGUACCCAAACUCAUCCUGACCAUAAUCAAUGAACACACAUUGUCACGACUUCAUCUCAAGUUUCGACCUCUCAUCUUUCGGAAUAUGAACAAAUGCCUUGCACCCAAAGACCCUCAAAUGACCAUAGGAAACAUCCUUACCGGUCCAAACCCUCUCUGGAAUAUCACCCUCCAAAGGAGCAAUUGGUGACAAAUUAAGCACAUGAACAACUGAACUCAAAGCUUCACCCCAGAAAGUCAUCGAUAAGCCUGACUGUGAAAUCAAACAUCUAACCCUCUCGACAAUUGUCCUGUUCAUCCUCUCAGCCAAACCAUUCAACUGUGGAGUCUUAGGCGGCGUCUUCUGAUGCCUAAUACCAUGUUCCUUGCAAUAAGCAUCAAACGGUCCAGAUUACUCACCACCAUUAUCACUGCGGAUACACUUCAACUUCUUUCCCGUCUGUCUCUCAACCAAUGCCACAAAAUGCUUGAAAUAUUCCAAAACCUGAUCCUUAGUCUUCAUAGUAUAAACCCACAGCUUCCUAGAAUGAUCAUCAAUGAAUGUCACAAAAUAUGAUGCACCACCAAGAGAUUUCGUCUUCAUUGGACCACAAAUAUCUGAAUGCACCAGAUCAAGUAUCUCGGAUUUUCUAGAAGGUGUAUAAGACCUGAAAGAGACUCUGUGCUGUUUUCCUGCAAAACAAUGCUCACACUUCUGCAAAUGUAAACCGGAGAUACCUGAAAUAGCCUCCUUCUUCGAUAACACAGACAAUCCUUUCUCACUCAUGUGACCGAGUCUCUUAUGCCACAACUCCAUGGCAUCAUCAUUCUCCACUGCAUUAACAAUGUCUUUGGAGACCUUAGCCUGCAUCCAAUAGAAAGACGAAGACUUAUCACCUCGAGUCACAACCAUAGAUCCUCGUGAAAGUUUCUAUUUAUCCCCUCCGAAUAAACUAUAAAAACCUUCAUCAUCAAGUCUUCCUGUAGAGAUCAGAUUCAACCGAAUAUCUGGGACAUGCUUAACUCCCUUAAGCACAAGUCUAGUACUAAUACUAGUCUCCAAGCAAAUAUCACCAAUGCCAACAACUUUAGCCAGACCAUCAUUAUCCAUCUUUACAGAACCAAAACUACCUGGAGUAUAGGUAGAGAACAAAUCCUGCUGCGAUGUAGCGUGAGUAGUAGCUCUACUAUCUACAACCCAACUAGUAUCCUGGCAUGCAAUAUUAAUGGCAUCACUCUCAAGGAGAAUAAGAAACUGAUCCUCAGUGACUGUCACCCGAUCUUCACCAUCUCCUUGUUUGCUGUCCUUUUUCAACUUCCAGCAAUUCUUCUUCAAGUGCCCUUUCUUAUGACAGUAAUGGCACUCUAUAUUUGCAUACUUGUUAGACUUGCUUCUGCUCAUGUUCCUGUCCUUCUUGGGCUCUCUCUUUGUUCUCCUCCCCCUCGACUCAGAAACCAAUACAUCUGAACGCAAAGAACUAGCAUUUGAUUGCCUCCUUGCUUCCUCAUUCAAGACACUGUUUUUCACUAAGUCCAUCGAAAUAGCACCAUCCGACGUGGAGUUACACAAAGACAUCCUAAACACUUACCAAGAAUCUGGUAAUGUACCAAGAAGCCAUAAACCGUGAAUCUCAUCUUCAAACUUGAUUCCCAUGUCAGAAAGUUUGUUGAUCAAUCCCUGAAAUGCAUUCAAGUGAUCUGUCAUAGGAGUUCCAUCCUCAUAUCUCAGCUCAAUCAACUUCUUGAUCAUGGCCAUCUUAUUAUUCCCGGUCUUCGAGCAUAUAAUUGCUCCAGCUUCAACCACAAAGAGCGAGCAUCAGUCUCAUUCUCAAUAUGAUGCAACACAUGAUCAUCAACCCACUGCCUUAUGGAACCACACACUUGGCGAUGCAACAACUUCUACUCAGCAUCGGUUUUACUAUCAGGCUUUGUCUCCUCAAAAACAGGAAGGAGAUUCUUUGACAAAAAGUAAAUCUUCCAUCUUGCCCUUCCAUAGAUGAUAAUUAGCACCAUUCAAACUUAUCAUUCUGCCCAUAUUUUCCAUCGCUCACACAAGCAAACCAAAAACUCUCGAACCUGGCUCUGAUACCACUCUGUUGGGAAAGAACAGAUGCAAAAUGGCACAGCGGAAUAUAGUUCUUCCCACACUUGUGUGAACCUAUGAGAAAAAUAUAAAAGCAAUGGCAGAAAGUAAAAUGACACAGCAAAUUUUACGUGGAAAACCUCCUCAAUGUGAGGAGUAAAAACCACGGGACCGUAGUCCACUUAAAAAUCCACUAUCACCAAUGAAUAUGAGUUACAACCACGUCCACCAAAGACUAAGGCUCCAAAGAGCAAUCUCCAAUACAACAACACAACCACAAGAGAGCAAAACAGAGCUUAGAAAUAAGCAGAUCCAAACGACUCUAAGUUUACUAGGAUUCCGGCAACCAAAUCGAAUCUCCACCGUACAAACCCUAGAUAAACGAGUCAACAACACCUCUGCAAAAUGUUAGCUCAAACCGAGAAGAACUCACCGUCGGAUUUCCCAAACACUCAAGACAGCACCUACUGAAAUCUGAACUCGCCACUGAUGCGAACAGCCACGCUAAAACCCAGAUAACUCCCUAACCAACCGUUGGAACACAAAUCCCUUCGGUGAGCCUCAAGAACACUGAGUCACGAAGCUUCCCUCAAAAUUUCAGCCAGAUCGGAGCACUGCAAAGCCUCCAAACGUUACCCUGAACAGAACCUGACGAAAACUGUGUAUCUUCCUCUCUGGUCUGUGAAAAUCACUCUCUCUUGUCUCAAUGACUCUUAACAACCACUUAUAUACAGGUUAAGAGAAGCUAUUAAACUCCCACAUAACUCUAAUUCCAAUAAUAAUCUCAUGGAUUAAAAUAUGGCCCAGGUUUGGUUCUUUUUUAACCAAACCCAAUUGGUUUCCCCACUAGGAGGAAAACCAACAAGAGAUUCAUCAAUGAGAAACAGGCGGUUAAUGAUAUUUAGAGUGAAUUCAUACAUCUCACCACAAAUAUACAGAAGGUUGACCCCAUUCCUAUAUUCCAAGUCCGAAACAGACACAUAAAACUCAUGGACCACAUUAGGACAAUAGGGAUCAACAUCAAUCACCGUAUAAGUCAGACUAGCUCGAUCAAGCAACUUCCAAACAUUGUCCAACUUGGGAUCCUCAAGAGGGAGAUACUUCUAAUCAAUGAAAGGGCGGAAGCGAAAGAAGUCAUACCUAUCGUGAGCUGCUUCAGAAAGAAAACUGCAAACUGGUAUGGUGAGAGGACAGGUGAGUUUGAGAUGCAUGCGGUCAUGGGCAAAUUUAGUACGGCAAUUUGCUGCAUACCGAGCUUCCUGGUCUUCAUAUGAAAGACCUUCUCACGGAUCCUCAAAGCCAUCAACCAUAUCAGCAUCAGCAUCAGAGAUUUGUCAUCAGAUCCGGCAAUCGGGUUUGUGAACAUGUCACGGGGGUCUGAAAAUGCAGCUUGCAGGGACCCAGAACUACUGCUGUCGGAACUGUCAUCAUCAGGAAUCAGCACAAGUUCUUUGUCGGAGCGAUGAUUCGCUUUCAGCAUCUGUGUGCGUCGACGGAUAGCGGAAUCAAGAGUCUCAGAGUCUUCCGGUUCACGACGCGAGGCAGCGAUAGAGGCUGACAUGAGCUUGGCAGACUGUUGACGAGUAUGUCGAGACAUGGUGAAAGGAAGAAACUUUUGAGCUCAAAGGGAAGAAGAGGUGAGUGGCACACAAUUAGGGUUUCAUAGCACAUGAAACGUCAUCUGGUCCUUAUAAACAAGCGGGAACCCUACACUCAUGAGCUUAAAACACGAACUGUUAGCUGAACAAGGGCAAUGGGCCGAAAGCCCAAGAGCAACAUCCAUAAAAAAAAAAAACGAUGUGUGACACAGGAAAUUUCAACGUAGAAAUACACAACUAAACAAAGACAUCAACUCAUCAUCCAAAAGAGAACUAAGAGAGGACCCCAUGAAAAUCAAUAAACCUGUACACAGAAAACACCAUAAACAGCUUAUGCAAUGCAGACAGACAAAAGAAACAACAUAACCUCACUGAGAAACAUGUGGGGAUAAGAGGGACGAUUACCAGGUGAACUGACACGUAUCCGGAGAACUGAAAAAACACAAAACACGUUUGAAGAUUAAACUUAUGAACACAGCGAAGCAGCAGAACUUUUGCCAAAGCGCUUUCACAUCACUGAUUCAGUCGAAUCAAGACCUGAAGGUCUCACCAUUAUGUCAUGAAAUCAAUUGCCUUUGGGAGAGCUCUUGUCACAGUCAUCUUACAGUGUCCUAUUCUACAUCAGACGAGAGUGAUCACACCAGGAUGUACUCAGAAGAUCAGCCUCAGUUGUUCCUCACACUGACUUACUCUCUUAGUCUCACUUGUAGCAGCAAAAGCAACCACUUUCUGUUUUGCCUUUUCAUCAGCACUGGCUUCCAAUUCUUCGGCUUUGAGCAUGCCUACCAAGGUGUCAAACUUCAUAUCAUCCAAGUCUAUUGAGUAUUUGACAACUGUUUUCUGAGCAGCAUACUUUGGGGGAAGACAUCUGAGAAGUUUCUUUACAAGUUUCUUAUCCUUGUACUUCUUCCCAAGAACUAGAGCCUCAUUAGCAAGGAUACUGAUUUUGGUAUUGCAUCUUUCUCCAUCUUGAGAUUUUCAAACUGAGAUGCAAGGUGAUCAAUCCGAGGUCUCUUCACACUUGUAUCCCUUUCAAAAUGACUUAUCAAAAUGUCCCAUGCUUUUUUUGCUGAAGUGCAUCCUUGAAUCAAACUGAACUCAUUUAGUUCGACUGCAUCAAAGAUUGCAUUGA
RNAcentral lists this long non-coding RNA (16383 nucleotides) under Eutrema salsugineum. Its description in RNAcentral is "long non-coding RNA (ESAL_LNC001808)". Lineage: Eukaryota; Viridiplantae; Streptophyta; Magnoliopsida; Brassicales; Brassicaceae. The record is from RNAcentral.